AGACAGUGUGAGGCAAAACCAAUUUAUGGUGCCAACAAGAGCUUCAUCAAUGGCGGGCAACCAUAAUUCUCAGAAGCUUCACACACUCUUGAUCAAGACAGUGUGAAGCAAAACCAAUUUAUGGUGCCAACAAAAGCUUCAUCAAAAGAGUUCAACUACAAAUUCUCAAAAGCUUCACACUAUCUUGAUUAAGAUAAUGUGAAGCAAAAUCAAUUCAUGGUACCCAACAAAAGCUUCAACUUCAAAGCUUCACCUACAAAGCUUCAACUCCAAAGUUUCACCUACAAAAGCUUCAACAC
Molecule: long non-coding RNA, 299 nt
Filed under: Malus domestica (apple)
Lineage: Eukaryota; Viridiplantae; Streptophyta; Magnoliopsida; Rosales; Rosaceae
Description: long non-coding RNA (MDOM_LNC004430)
Source: RNAcentral